RNAcentral lists this ribosomal RNA (549 nucleotides) under uncultured bacterium. RNAcentral describes it as "bacterial SSU rRNA". It matches the Rfam family "Bacterial small subunit ribosomal RNA", at positions 355 to 895 of the family's 1533-position model. The record is from RNAcentral.
UAGGGAAUCUUCCGCAAUGGGCGAAAGCCUGACGGAGCAACGCCGCGUGAGUGAUGAAGGUCUUCGGAUUGUAAAACUCUGUUAUUAGGGAAGAACAUAUGUGUAAGUAACUGUGCACAUCUUGACGGUACCUAAUCAGAAAGCCACGGCUAACUACGUGCCAGCAGCCGCGGUAAUACGUAGGUGGCAAGCGUUAUCCGGAAUUAUUGGGCGUAAAGCGCGCGUAGGCGGUUUUUUAAGUCUGAUGUGAAAGCCCACGGCUCAACCGUGGAGGGUCAUUGGAAACUGGAAAACUUGAGUGCAGAAGAGGGAAGUGGAGUUCCAUGUGUAGCGGUGAAAUGCGCAGAGAUAUGGAGGAACACCAGUGGCGAAGGCGACUUUCUGGUCUGUAACUGACGCUGAUGUGCGAAAGCGUGGGGAUCAAACAGGAUUAGAUACCCUGGUAGUCCACGCCGUAAACGAUGAGUGCUAAGUGUUAGGGGGUUUCCGCCCCUUAGUGCUGCAGCUAACGCAUUAAGCACUCCGCCUGGGGAGUACGACCGCAAGGUU